UGACAAUUUUUUAGGGAAUCAUAAAAUUUAGUCUCGUAUAUCGAAAGGACAUUAAGAAAAUGAAAAAAAUCCGACAAUUAAGUGGAAAAAACCUGAGUGUCCUCGUCAAUCCCAAGAAUCUCUGGACUGUGGAUAUUAUAUAUGUCGAUAUAUGCUCGAGACUAUAGAGAAAAGGCGACAAGUGAUUCCUGAUAAGUACUUUGGUGGAGUUACAACUGAAUUUCCUCAAAAUAAGCUUGACGAGUUGAGAGACUUAUGGAUCAAAUACGUGGAGGAAUAUAAACAAGCGGAGAAGAGGAAUCUGAAGAAAGUGUCGAUUUUGAUUAGGUGUUAAG
Molecule: long non-coding RNA, 335 nt
Organism: Beta vulgaris subsp. vulgaris (sugar beet)
Lineage: Eukaryota; Viridiplantae; Streptophyta; Magnoliopsida; Caryophyllales; Amaranthaceae
Exons: 3
Source: RefSeq, a predicted model, not a curated record